This 76-nucleotide transfer RNA is filed under the name Colwellia sp. RNAcentral describes it as "tRNA-Val". It matches the Rfam family "tRNA". Rfam says of the family: Transfer RNA (tRNA) molecules are approximately 80 nucleotides in length. Their secondary structure includes four short double-helical elements and three loops (D, anti-codon, and T loops). RNAcentral also lists the same sequence under 48 other names. Lineage: Bacteria; Pseudomonadati; Pseudomonadota; Gammaproteobacteria; Alteromonadales; Colwelliaceae. The record is from RNAcentral.
GGGCGAUUAGCUCAGUUGGGAGAGCACCGCCCUUACAAGGCGGGGGUCACUGGUUCAAGCCCAGUAUCGCCCACCA